AACGCGAAGAACCUUACCAGCUUUUGACAUGUCCCGUAUGAGAAACAGAAAUGUAUCUCUUCACUUCGGGUGGCGGGAACACAGGUGCUGCAUGGCUGUCGUCAGCUCGUGUCGUGAGAUGUUGGGUUAAGUCCCGCAACGAGCGCAACCCUCGCCCUUAGUUGCCAUCAUUCAGUUGGGCACUCUAAGGGGACUGCCGGUGAUAAGCCGCGAGGAAGGUGGGGAUGACGUCAAGUCCUCAUGGCCCUUACAGGCUGGGCUACACACGUGCUACAAUGGCGGUGACAAUGGGAGGCAAUGGCGCGAGCCUGCGCAAAUCUCAAAAAGCCGUCUCAGUUCGGAUUGCACUCUGCAACUCGAGUGCAUGAAGUUGGAAUCGCUAGUAAUCGCGGAUCAGCACGCCGCGGUGAAUACGUUCCCGGGCCUUGUA
This 430-nucleotide ribosomal RNA is filed under the name uncultured Alphaproteobacteria bacterium. Its description in RNAcentral is "bacterial SSU rRNA". It matches the Rfam family "Bacterial small subunit ribosomal RNA", at positions 958 to 1385 of the family's 1533-position model. Lineage: Bacteria; Pseudomonadati; Pseudomonadota; Alphaproteobacteria. The record is from RNAcentral.